RNAcentral lists this ribosomal RNA (248 nucleotides) under uncultured bacterium. RNAcentral describes it as "partial 16S ribosomal RNA". It matches the Rfam family "Bacterial small subunit ribosomal RNA", at positions 1250 to 1500 of the family's 1533-position model. The record is from RNAcentral.
CAAAACAGCGAUGUGGAGCAAACCCCUAAAAAUGGUCUCAGUUCAGAUUGCAGGCUGCAACCCGCCUGCAUGAAGUCGGAAUUGCUAGUAAUCGCGGAUCAGCAUGCCGCGGUGAAUACGUUCCCGGGCCUUGUACACACCGCCCGUCACACCAUGGGAGCCGGUAAUACCCGAAGUCAGUAGUCCAACCUCGUGAGGACGCUGCCGAAGGUAGGAUUGGCGACUGGGUGAAGUCGUAACAAGGUACC